Molecule: non-coding RNA, 1382 nt
Organism: Ciona intestinalis (vase tunicate)
Lineage: Eukaryota; Metazoa; Chordata; Ascidiacea; Phlebobranchia; Cionidae
Source: RefSeq, a predicted model, not a curated record
GUAUGUGUAAACCCUAUUAUAAAAUUUUUUAGUAUUGUGCCUUGCGAUUGGUAUUUUUAUUUUAUAUUUCGUGAAUUUCGCUACGGUUCUUAAUUUCAUACAUUAGCCUAUACACGUCACUCGCGACGUGAAAACAGGGUGCACAAUCGCUUUGUUACGUCAUAAAAUGUCUGUAUGACAUCGCGUUAUACCCGCUUCGCCAUCGCUCGCGAAUAUUAUGUCAUAGUCCGGUUCACACCCGAGAGCCCACGUUUGCGACGUCACAUUGCGGUUUCUUCUAUGCGCUUGCUUUUCGCGAGAUUUUAUCGUGGGGCCCCAUGCGCGCUUUGCGUCGUCGCAAGGCACAUUACUUAUACUUUCAUAUUAAUUUUACUCCCAAGUAUAUUCGUGGUGUUAGCACAAAAUGAAACCUGAAGAACAAAGAUUUGGUAAAGUAUAAAUCACAAUAGGCAUUGUUACGUACACCAGUUCUUUUCUAGAUAACAUUAGAGAUGUGACGUCACGAAGUGGUGAUGACGCAACAGAAGAACUUACUUCAACCUGAUAUGUGACGUCACUAAGGAUCAAGACGAAAGAGCGCGAAUCGGGAAUAAAGAAAAGUCAGCGUGUACAUGAUGCAAAAGAAGAUCACAAGAAACAAGCAAAAACAAAGACGACGGUAAAGUUCCCGGUUUGAGGUUUUGCUUAGGAGUUGUGUGUUGUUGGGGUGUGGUUGCUGGAGCACUCUUACAGUGUUGCCGGGUGUUUGUGUCUUAUUUUUGCUGGACCUAAUGUGGCCAGCCUUUUUAUCAGCCACUACUUUGGUGCAUUUUGCAUUUCACUGAAAUAUAAGCAAUGAAACUAUGGCGAACAUCUUGCUGGAUCGGAUUUUGUUGUUGUACACGUCAUUACGUGUUUCUUCUGCAAAGGUCGAUUCCUUUAACGUUCUGCAUUGUCCUAAUCACUUAAUAAGAACGGCAUGUUGGUACACAAAUACUUGAGUAAUAUCCAAGCGCAUUAUAAUAUACACGCAGUUAAACCUUUGGGUUUAAUGUACCUUUUCAUUAAUUGAAUGUCCCCGUUAACCUACUGCUAUUUUUCUACAAAAGCCUAAUUGUGACGCUGGCCACGUUGCAAUUACGCUAUGACGUCGAUGGGUCUUUAGGGCCCCGCGUUUGGUGCGGUUACGUCACGGUUCUAGAUUGAGUUACGUUACUGUUGGGUUGUUGCGUGGACGUCGCCGCCAGUGAUGCUACGCUCGGUUAUUUAGGUCACUGUGAAUGCGGUUCGUAACAACCUGACGAAGUUCCGUAACGGUCGAAGCGGUGCUUAACAUCCAAACGAUAUUAUAUUGCGUGGAGAUGCGACGAGAGUAUCGCGGUACCAACGUGACGACUCACCUU